Molecule: ribosomal RNA, 449 nt
Filed under: uncultured bacterium
Lineage: Bacteria
Description: partial 16S ribosomal RNA
Rfam family: Bacterial small subunit ribosomal RNA
Source: RNAcentral
GGUGAACGCUGGCGGCAUGCCUAACACAUGCAAGUCGAACGAGACCUUCGGGUCUAGUGGCGCACGGGUGCGUAACGCGUGGGAAUCUACCCUUGGGUUCGGAAUAACAGUUAGAAAUGACUGCUAAUACCGGAUGAUGACGUAAGUCCAAAGAUUUAUCGCCCAAGGAUGAGCCCGCGUAAGAUUAGCUUGUUGGUGGGGUAAUGGCCUACCAAGGCGACGAUCUUUAGCUGGUCUGAGAGGAUGAUCAGCCACACUGGGACUGAGACACGGCCCAGACUCCUACGGGAGGCAGCAGUGGGGAAUAUUGGACAAUGGGCGAAAGCCUGAUCCAGCAAUGCCGCGUGAGUGAUGAAGGCCUUAGGGUUGUAAAGCUCUUUUACCAGGGAUGAUAAUGACAGUACCUGGAGAAUAAGCUCCGGCUAACUCCGUGCCAGCCGCCGCCGUAA